UACGGAGGGAGCUAGCGUUGUUCGGAAUUACUGGGCGUAAAGCGCGCGUAGGCGGUUUUUUAAGUCAGAGGUGAAAGCCCGGGGCUCAACCCCGGAAUUGCCUUUGAAACUGGAAAACUUGAAUCUUGGAGAGGUCAGUGGAAUUCCGAGUGUAGAGGUGAAAUUCGUAGAUAUUCGGAAGAACACCAGUGGCGAAGGCGACUGACUGGACAAGUAUUGACGCUGAGGUG
This 230-nucleotide ribosomal RNA is filed under the name uncultured microorganism. Its description in RNAcentral is "partial 16S ribosomal RNA". It matches the Rfam family "Bacterial small subunit ribosomal RNA", at positions 524 to 753 of the family's 1533-position model. The record is from RNAcentral.